GCUAGGUAUAGUGGCCUGUGCCUGUAGUCCCAGCUACUGGAAGGCUAAGGCAGAAGAACCACUGGAGCCCAAGAGUUCAAGGCCAGCCUGGGCAACACAGACAA
This 104-nucleotide small RNA is filed under the name Marmota monax (woodchuck). The record is from RNAcentral. Lineage: Eukaryota; Metazoa; Chordata; Mammalia; Rodentia; Sciuridae.